CGGGUUGUAAACCUUCUUUCAGCAGGGAAGAAGCGAAAGUGACGGUACCUGCAGAAGAAGCGCCGGCUAACUAACGUGCCAGCAGCCGCGGUAAUACGUAGGGCGCGAGCGUUGUCCGGGAAUUAUUGGGCGUAAAGAGCUCGUAGGCGGCUUGUCACGUCGGUUGUGAAAGCCCGGGGCUUAACCCCGGGUCUGCAGUCGAUACGGGCAGGCUAGAGUUCGGUAGGGGAGAUCGGAAUUCCUGGUGUAGCGGUGAAAUGCGCAGAUAUCAGGAGGAACACCGGUGGCGAAGGCGGAUCUCUGGGCCGAUACUGACGCUGAGGAGCGAAAGCGUGGGGAGCGAACAGGAUUAGAUACCCUGGUAGUCCACGCCGUAAACGGUGGGCACUAGGUGUGGGCAACAUUCCACGUUGUCCGUGCCGCAGCUAACGCAUUAAGUGCCCCGCCUGGGGAGUACGGCCGCAAGGCUAAAACUCAAAGGAAUUGACGGGGGCCCGCACAAGCGGCGGAGCAUGUGGCUUAAUUCGACGCAACGCGAAGAACCUUACCAAGGCUUGACAUACACCGGAAAACCCUGGAGACAGGGUCCCCCUUGUGGUCGGUGUAACAGGUGGUGCAUGGCUGUCGUCAGCUCGUGUCGUGAAGAUGUUGGGUUAAAGUCCCGCAACGAGCGCAACCCUUGUCCCGUGUUGCCAGCAGGCCCUUGUGGUGCUGGGGACUCACGGGAGACCGCCGGGGUCAACUCGGAGGAAGGUGGGGACGACGUCAAGUCAUCAUGCCCCUUAUGUCUUGGGCUGCACACGUGCUACAAUGGCCGGUACAAUGAGCUGCGAUACCGCGAGGUGGAGCGAAUCUCAAAAAGCCGGUCUCAGUUCGGAUUGGGGUCUGCAACUCGACCCCAUGAAGUCGGAGUCGCUAGUAAUCGCAGAUCAGCAUUGCUGCGGUGAAUACGUUCCCGGGCCUUGUACACACCGCCCGUCACGUCACGAAAGUCGGUAACACCCGAAGCCG
Molecule: ribosomal RNA, 1011 nt
Filed under: Streptomyces sp. DR-BS27
Lineage: Bacteria; Bacillati; Actinomycetota; Actinomycetes; Kitasatosporales; Streptomycetaceae
Description: bacterial SSU rRNA
Rfam family: Bacterial small subunit ribosomal RNA
Source: RNAcentral